Molecule: ribosomal RNA, 232 nt
Filed under: uncultured bacterium
Lineage: Bacteria
Description: partial 16S ribosomal RNA
Rfam family: Bacterial small subunit ribosomal RNA
Source: RNAcentral
GAUCAUGGCUCAGGACGAACGCUGGCGGCGUGCCUAAUACAUGCAAGUAGAACGCACAGGAUGCACCGUAGUUUACUACACCGUAUUCUGUGAGUUGCGAACGGGUGAGUAACGCGUAGGUAACCUGCCUGGUAGCGGGGGGAUAACUAUUGGAAACGAUAGCUAAUACCGCAUAAGAACAUUUACUGCAUGGUAGAUGUUUAAAAGGUGCAAGAGCAUCACUACCAGAUGG